ACCGCUCCAAAGAUUUUUUUUUUUUUUUUUUUUUUUAAAGUCAUGUUCACUGGUAAAAGCAGAGAAAUGUUCUUUCCACAAAUGGUACUGCCCACAGAAGGGGUGUGCCUUUUGUUUUACCUUUUGGGAAUAACCCAACUCUUGCCAAGGAGUUCUCUUUUCAAUGCUAGGAAGACCACAGGGGAUCCACCACCUCAUUUCCAAGGCCAGGACAGCUAAAAGCAUUGCAUCUCUGUCUUAAAAACCUAUCAGUCUUUAGUUUGAAAGCCCAGCCGGUGCUCUAAUGAGGGUAGAGACCGGGAUUUUUGUUCAGAGUCUGCAGUGCCUGGGACUUAGUAGGCUCUUGGUUAUUAUUUUGAAGGAUGGGUGAAUGGAUUUUUUUCCCCCAGUGAGCAAUCUCUGUUAUUUUUCUACCUUACAAGACUUGCUGCUGCUGGAGUUAAAACCAUAACUGAAAACAAUCACAGUCUUCUGUAUUGAUCACAUACUUUAGAAGUUGUAACUACGUCUUUUAUUCAAGCUGUAGCUGGCUUAAAAUUGGUGUUAAUGACUUAAGUUGACUCAGGAACUGUCAUAUAAACAAUAUUUAAAGUUCCUGACCGUUGUUAGAAAUAGAGCUUUAAAAAAAUCAUUGCUUUUGAGGUGAGUGCUGCAUUGGGGUUGAGAUAGGUCAUUAAAAUAGUUUUUCUUUUCAGUGAAUAUUAAUUAUUUAUAACUCAUUCUCUCUCUUUCUCUCACCGAUAUUUAUGUGUCCCUAAGAGCACAGUGGCAAGCUUUCCUUCAGAAGCUGCUGAGGACAACAGGAACUCUCUUUCAAAAGGUGCUCUAAUUGGGAGCAUCAGAUGCUUUUAAGCUCAUCUUCAGUUGCUGCUGUUGUUACUUUAAACUGUGACUUCUUAUUGAGCUUGAUGGUAAGCUGUUAGGGAGCCUAUUACUUUCACAGAUAAAAGGUUAGUUGGAAAAGUCAGAGGAAUGACCUUCAUUAUAUUAAAGGGUGAAAUUUUGAAAUAUGUGCAUAAGGGUUUAUAAACUCAGUGCUUUCCGCGUUCUGGACAGAAGAAACAAUUAGUACAAGGGCCCUAUGAUUGGCUGUGUAUGGUGCAUUGAAGGAAGAGUGAGGUGGGAGAAAUGGGAGUGGAUUAGCAAAGAUUAAGUAACAGGAUAUAAGAUCAGACAGGAAGUGAGAGUCAAGUCAUACAAGGCCUAUCAGGAUUUUGCCUUUAUUCCAAGAGAGUUGAAAGCCUUUUGUGUGUUUUCAUUUUUGUUUUUAUUGAAGUCCAGUUGACCUACCAUAUCAGAUUAGUUUCAAGUGUUCAACAGAAUUAUUUGACAUUUAAUGCAUUAUAAAAAGCUCACCACAGGAAGUGUAGUCGCCAUCUGCCACCAUACAAAGUUAUUAAAAUAUUACUAUAUUCCCUAUGGUGUACUUUAUAUUCCCAUGACUUAAGCCAUUGGUAUGCUUUGAGCUGAGGAGUUCAAUGUGGUAACCCUGUCAUUGAAGCGGCUAGAUGGGGAAAAGACUGACAAGGUCAAAGGUGGAAGUGGGGAGGUCAGUUAGGAGAUAAUUGCAAGAAUUCAUGAGAGAUGAUGAUGCUUGGCCUAGGGCAGUGCAUGUAUGUGUACUUACUCCUAGCCCCUUGUCUUAGCACACAAACUGCAUGACUGUGUGCAUACUUUACAGCUCUAUUGGAAAGUUUCUCUCUUUGCUGUCUUCCAAGGUCACCCUUAAAUAUGGCUGUAAUGUAGCUGUCAUCCAUUCUUAACUUUCUCCCACAAACUGAGCCAGCCCAUAUGUAACACCAAGCUCUGACCUUUUCCUCUUUUUUCAGCCAGUCAUACAGAACCCACCCUCCCCACAUAUGACCAUAUACGCAAGCACGGGAAAGGAGUGCUGGUGAUAUUCUGUUGGGUAACAUUGGGCUUCUGGGCUUCUGGGCUCCUGGCUCAUGCAGCUUACUCAUGCCCUCUAGUUCUGCUCUCUGUACAUCCUAGAUGCACAAUUUCCAUCUUAAGGAAGAGGUUUCUUCUGGAUCUUUCCAACUUUAUAAUUGGUGAGCUGACAGGACUAGACUUACAACGGGCUAUUUGGAUGUCUGGUAUCUUUCUAUCUUCAUGGUGAAGAGCUCUACUUCUUCUACGACCCAGUCACAUGCCAGGCAAGUCCAAACUAUUUAGAAUAUGGUGGAGGAUAAGCUAACAGCCCUGAGACAGAAGUGUAAAUGAAUAUGUUCUCUUUCCCAGGUAAGUACAAACGGUUUCUAAUCUUAUUACAUAGUUGGAAUAGAAAAUAAUGCAUUCGUCGAUCAGCCACAUACCAUGUACCAGAGGCCUUAUUAAUCUGUUCCAAGGAAGAUGUGAUAUAUGACACAGCAGCUAUGAUAAGAGCUCCUGCGGGUUGAGCUUGCACGACUCUGCAGUCAUUCUUCAAGAUCCGUCUAACUUAUGAAGCAGCCAGAUGGUGUCCUAAAUGGACAAAUUCUAGGGACUACCAUUCUGCAUCUUCUAGAACUCUGAGAAUGUCACUAAUGCCUGCCAUUCUCCCAGCCCUACCCUAGGAUGUAAUUCUGCUUUUUAUUUACCAUCUUGGUAGGAGGUGGUAAGGGGUAUGGCAGUUUCAGAGAUCUCCACUUGGCCUUCCCUUCGGUAUAGCUCUUACCCUAGAAACCAAUGCCAAGUAUGUUAGUUCUAAUUGAACACUCAGAAUUGGGGAAAUGGUCACUGUGUGGGUCCAUAGACCCACUGAGCCCCUUGUGACCUAGGGUUUAGUAAGGGCUUUAUUAUCUUACCUAGUCACUGUAAGUUACCAUUCUAACUGGGGACUAUGAUACAACUUUGGGUUUCAUUGUGAACCUAGACCCUGUAUCCACUAGUUCUCCAAGUAUCUGGUUUUUCUUUCUGUGUUAUACAUUGACCUGAAUGAAUGGCCAUAGAUCCCUUUGGGGAAGGACUGAGGAAAUCAUCCCAACAUAUUUGCCUGGGCGUCCUUCCUGCUAGGUGAGAUACCUCUUCAGUCAAUGGGUUCUAGAUCAGAAAAUUGGCCCAGGUCUGGGUGAUGAGCAGAGGAUUAUGAUGUUCUAUUGAGGUAACUGCCUUGAGCCACUUGCUCCCAUUUUUUUUUUUCCUAAUUUUUGCUCCUCCAUUCUUGCUUUUUUAGGUUUUCAGUUACAGAUGUUAAGCACCAUUUGAGUUGUCUUGUCUGUUUUGCCCUGACAAUGCCACAUUCUGUGAAUGUGUAAAGCCUCCUUUGCUGCUGCUCUGCUGUAGCUGGCUAUCGCAGCAUUGUGGCUUCCUGGUUUCUGGGGUUCCUUGCCACACCUGGCCACUGUUACUCCAGGGUGUCAUCAUCCCCAUAGAUACUGACAAGCCCUGCUCUGUGACUGUGUCUCCUAGAGUCAGCCCUGGCCUGUGAAGGCCACAACUAAAAUCCCUAGAGGUGCUAGUGUUUUUCUCACUAGCUCCCUGCCGAUAGUGUUGGUGAAGGGUGUGUGCUCUGGGCCUACGAUGUAACAUAACUCUGGGGAGUGUCUUCCAGCUUUACCUAAUAUUUCUGGUCUAACAUAACCUACUUUCGACCUCUUUAUUCCUAUCUGUACUACCAGUCAGAGGAACUCACACCUUUUUCACUUCAGUAAGUGUAGUUUACAGCUUUUCCAGACUUCUGAGACCACUGGAUCAACCGCCCUAUCCCUUGGAGUCCUUGCCAGGGUAUAAAAUCGCGUAUCUCAAACAAAUGGCCCAGGUGAAUUCUUGCUUAUCCAAUCUUAAAUUCUGGCUCCCUUAAACCUUUCCAAAUCCAGUCUCAGUGCUGCUUCCCUGGCCCCUAAUGGCACUUGUUCUUUUUUUUUUUCUUUUUUGUUUAUCCAUCAGAAAGCACAAGGAGAGGGAGAA
Lutra lutra (Eurasian river otter) is the source of this 3888-nucleotide long non-coding RNA. RefSeq lists it as uncharacterized. NCBI's taxonomy places the organism in Eukaryota, Metazoa, Chordata, Mammalia, Carnivora, Mustelidae. The transcript has 3 exons. The record is from RefSeq and is a predicted model, not a curated record.